CCUACGGGCGGCAGCAGUAGGGAAUCUUCCACAAUGGGCGAAAGCCUGAUGGAGCAACGCCGCGUGGGUGAAGAAGGUCUUCGGAUCGUAAAACCCUGUUGUUAGAGAAGAAAGUGCGUGAGAGUAACUGUUCACGUUUCGACGGUAUCUAACCAGACAGCCACGGCUAACUACGUGCCAGCAGCCGCGGUAAUACGUAGGUGGCAAGCGUUAUCCGGAUUUAUUGGGCGUAAAGGGAACGCAGGCGGUCUUUUAAGUCUGAUGUGAAAGCCUUCGGCUUAACCGGAGGAGUGCAUUGGAAACUGGGAGACUUGAGUGCAGAAGAGGAGAGUGGAACUCAAUGUGUAGCGGUGAAAUGCGUAGAUAUAUGGAAGAACACCAGUGGCGAAAGCGGCUCUCUGGGCUGUAACUGACGCUGAGGUUCGAAAGCGUGGGUAGCAAACAGGAUUAGAUACCCUAGUAGUC
RNAcentral lists this ribosomal RNA (465 nucleotides) under uncultured bacterium. RNAcentral describes it as "partial 16S ribosomal RNA". It matches the Rfam family "Bacterial small subunit ribosomal RNA", at positions 338 to 795 of the family's 1533-position model. The record is from RNAcentral.